GAACGCUGGCGGUAGGCCUAACACCUGCAAGUCGAACGGCAGCACAGUAAGAGCUUGCUCUUACGGGUGGCGAGUGGCGGACGGGUGAGGAAUACAUCGGAAUCUACUUUUUCGUGGGGGAUAACGUAGGGAAACUUACGCUAAUACCGCAUACGACCUACGGGUGAAAGCAGGGGAUCUUCGGACCUUGCGCGAUUGAAUGAGCCGAUGUCGGAUUAGCUAGUUGGCGGGGUAAAGGCCCACCAAGGCGACGAUCCGUAGCUGGUCUGAGAGGAUGAUCAGCCACACUGGAACUGAGACACGGUCCAGACUCCUACGGGAGGCAGCAGUGGGGAAUAUUGGACAAUGGGCGCAAGCCUGAUCCAGCCAUACCGCGUGGGUGAAGAAGGCCUUCGGGUUGUAAAGCCCUUUUGUUGGGAAAGAAAAGCAGCAGGUUAAUACCCCGCUGUUCUGACGGUACCCAAAGAAUAAGCACCGGCUAACUUCGUG
Molecule: ribosomal RNA, 489 nt
Filed under: uncultured bacterium
Lineage: Bacteria
Description: partial 16S ribosomal RNA
Rfam family: Bacterial small subunit ribosomal RNA
Source: RNAcentral